RNAcentral lists this long non-coding RNA (289 nucleotides) under Crocodylus porosus (Australian saltwater crocodile). RNAcentral's name for it is "lncRNA (ENSCPRG00005001136.1)". The record is from RNAcentral. Lineage: Eukaryota; Metazoa; Chordata; Crocodylia; Crocodylidae.
CCCCUUAGAUGUCCUCCUGAGCCCAUCCUUCCUUAUUUUUUUUAUCCCACAAAAUCUUUUUGAAAUACAGUAUUGAUGAUCCCAAGAAUCAUGAGGAGAAGAAAACCAAAAUGACUGUCUCACAAACUACACCGCAGGUAAUAAAUAUCCCCAACACAGCUUGUAUAUUAGCAGCCUCUGUCUCUGAGCAAAGUGCACACUUCUCCACAGUUCCUGUUGACAUUCCUCCCAUGCACAAGCAUUUCGGAGGUGUCAAGAGAACUAGGAUUCAUGAAUGUCUCUUGGAAAA